CGUCUAUAUACGUAUAGCAUAUCAAUAAGCGGAGGAAAAGAAACUAACAAGGAUUCCCUUAGUAACGGCGAGUGAAGCGGGAAGAGCUCAAAUUUGAAAUCUUCAAGGUUCUACCUCGACGAAUUGUAGUUUAUAGAAGUGUUUUCUGUUAGUGGAGUGGCAAAAGUUCUUUGGAAUAGGACAUCAUAGAGGGUGAGAAUCCCGUAUUUGGUCAUUCCUCCUAGCGUUGUGAUACACUUUCAACGAGUCGGAUUGUUUGGGAAUGCAGUCCAAAAUGGGUGGUAAAUUUCAUCUAAAGCUGAAUAUUGGCGAGAGACCGAUAGCGAACAAGUACCGUGAGGGAAAGAUGGAAAAGAACUUUGAAAAGAGAGUUAAACAGUACGUGAAAUUGUCAAAAGGGAAGCGUUUGACACCAGUGUUGUUUUUCCGAAAAUCAAUUACGAAUGUUUUGUUUUUGAGGAGUUAUGACUUCAUCGGCUUGCUCCUUUCUUUAUGAAACUUUCUUAAUGCACUUUUCGGUUAACAAGUCAACAUCAAUUUCUUUUGUUGUAAAAGGGUAUGAGGAAGGUGGCUUUCUUUUCGGAGAAAGUGUUUAUAGCCUUGUGCCUCUGCAAUCGGAGAGAUUGAGGUCUGCAGCGUAGAUCCUUCGGGGUUAGAUACGUUUGUGCUAAGUUAUAGCUUUUCAUAGACAACUUGUUGACUAUGUUUAGUCUUGUAGCUUACUCGCUGACGCUAUUUUACCUACGCUUAGGAUGUUGAUAUGCAUGACUGAUAU
This 775-nucleotide ribosomal RNA is filed under the name uncultured Neocallimastigales. RNAcentral describes it as "partial large subunit ribosomal RNA". It matches the Rfam family "Eukaryotic large subunit ribosomal RNA", at positions 26 to 643 of the family's 3401-position model. Lineage: Eukaryota; Fungi; Neocallimastigomycota; Neocallimastigomycetes; Neocallimastigales. The record is from RNAcentral.